This 600-nucleotide long non-coding RNA is filed under the name Mytilus galloprovincialis (Mediterranean mussel). The record is from RNAcentral. Lineage: Eukaryota; Metazoa; Mollusca; Bivalvia; Mytilida; Mytilidae.
GGUAUGGAAAGGGGGGCUGUUUUUUUUGUUUUUUUUCAAUAAUAUUACAAAUAUAUAUAAAGUUCACCAGUCUGAAAAUACAUGGUUAAAUGAAUUUUAAUUCUGAAAAACUCCUGUUUAUUUAAUUCCUUUAUUAUUUCCAUCAUAAUAAGAAGCAAGCUACAUGUAUAAGGUAUUUCAAACAUAUAUUUUUGGCUUUUAUAUAAGAACAUUCAAGACUAUUAAUAUGUAUGUGCCUGCAGUAAAAACAAACCUGGUAAGGCCUAAAAAAAUUCUACAGGGCUCUUGAAAAAACUUUUGGAUCCAGGCUGGCCUUCAGAGAAAAUGUUAAGUAUUGUUCCUGACUGUAUUGCAGAUUUAUGUGAAGUUUUUAAACUGACAUGCACAAUUCAUUUCACAAGUGUAAUAAAAAUAAUUCUACAAAACAACGCAGCGCAUCGCGUUGCAAAUUCAUCUUAGACCCACCAUGCAUCAAGAAAUAUGUCUUUAUGUGGUAAUAUUAAGUAUUUGAUUUUUUUCAGUGAGAACGCGCUAAAGUGCCCUUUUUUAAAAACGCGCCCCUCUAUUUUCAAAUCCUAGCUGGAACACUGUAUAUAUAUA